ACGGGUGAGUAACGCGUGGAUAACCUGCCGUAUACAGGGGGAUAACACUUAGAAAUAGGUGCUAAUACCGCAUAAGCGCACGGUUCCGCAUGGAACAGUGUGAAAAACUCCGGUGGUAUACGAUGGAUCCGCGUCUGAUUAGCCAGUUGGCGGGGUAACGGCCCACCAAAGCGACGAUCAGUAGCCGGCCUGAGAGGGUGAACGGCCACAUUGGGACUGAGACACGGCCCAAACUCCUACGGGAGGCAGCAGUGGGGAAUAUUGCACAAUGGGGGAAACCCUGAUGCAGCGACGCCGCGUGAGUGAAGAAGUAUCUCGGUACGUAAAGCUCUAUCAGCAGGGAAGAAAAUGACGGUACCUGACUAAGAAGCCCCGGCUAACUACGUGCCAGCAGCCGCGGUAAUACGUAGGGGGCAAGCGUUAUCCGGAUUUACUGGGUGUAAAGGGAGCGUAGACGGCAGCGCAAGUCUGGAGUGAAAUGCCGGGGCCCAACCCCGGAACUGCUUUGGAAACUGUGCAGCUCGAGUGCAGGAGAGGUAAGCGGAAUUCCUAGUGUAGCGGUGAAAUGCGUAGAUAUUAGGAGGAACACCAGUGGCGAAGGCGGCUUACUGGACUGUAACUGACGUUGAGGCUCGAAAGCGUGGGGAGCAAACAGGAUUAGAUACCCUGGUAGUCCACGCCGUAAACGAUGAUUACUAGGUGUCGGGGGGCCAAGGCCCUCCGGUGCCGCCGCAAACG
Molecule: ribosomal RNA, 738 nt
Filed under: uncultured bacterium
Lineage: Bacteria
Description: bacterial SSU rRNA
Rfam family: Bacterial small subunit ribosomal RNA
Source: RNAcentral